This 77-nucleotide transfer RNA is filed under the name Brevundimonas sp. RNAcentral's name for it is "tRNA-Arg". It matches the Rfam family "tRNA". Rfam says of the family: Transfer RNA (tRNA) molecules are approximately 80 nucleotides in length. The record is from RNAcentral. Lineage: Bacteria; Pseudomonadati; Pseudomonadota; Alphaproteobacteria; Caulobacterales; Caulobacteraceae.
GCGCCCAUAGCUCACCCGGAUAGAGCACCCGCCUUCUAAGCGGACGGUUGCAGGUUCGAGUCCUGCUGGGCGCGCCA